UAACGGUAAGUUUUCGUGUGCACUGGA
Molecule: small RNA, 27 nt
Filed under: Bombyx mori (domestic silkworm)
Lineage: Eukaryota; Metazoa; Arthropoda; Insecta; Lepidoptera; Bombycidae
Description: ovarian small RNA-18857
Source: RNAcentral